RNA transcript from Hipposideros armiger (great roundleaf bat), 7595 nucleotides. It is a transcript of the gene named family with sequence similarity 120 member B, with no coding region annotated. The record is from RefSeq and is a predicted model, not a curated record. The transcript has 13 exons. NCBI's taxonomy places the organism in Eukaryota, Metazoa, Chordata, Mammalia, Chiroptera, Hipposideridae.
GCGGAAGCGGAAGUGUGCGAGCGGCUGCGGCGGGGCCGAGGGCUGCGCGCGUCUCCGCUGUGCUGGCGCUUCUCUAGGUCGGCUAUCAGCCGUUCCUUCCGUGGUCAGUAUGUCUGCCUCGAGUGCCCGCCCAUACUUCCUCUGCUGUGGGCUUAGGGAUCGUUGUUAGAACCGGGUACAAACUAGUCCAUAGAUGGUACAUCAGAGCCUGAGAAAACCUGGCUUUUCCAGGAGUGCAGCUAUGGGUGUAAGAGGCUUGCAGGGCUUUGUUGCAAGUACCUGCCCACAUGUAUGUACCGUAGUUAAUCUCAGAGAGCUGGCCGAGCGCCACCGGAGCAAGCACCCGGGCUGCACGCCCACCAUCGUGGUGGACGCCAUGUGCUGCCUCAGGUACUGGUACACUCCCGAGUCGUGGGUUUGUGGUGGCCAGUGGAGAGAGUACUUUUCUGCUUUGCGAGACUUUGUUAAAACCUUUGAAACUUUUGGCAUCAAGUUGAUAUUCUUCUUUGAUGGCAUGGUGGAGCAGGGUAAGAGAGAUGUGUGGGUGAAACGAAGACUCAAGAACAACAGGGAAAUAGCCAGGAUUUUCCAUUACAUCAAGUCCCACAGGGAGCAGCCCAGCAGAAACAUGUUCUUCAUCCCCUCGGGGCUGGCCAUAUUUACACGUUUUGCUUUGAAGACCCUGGGUCAGGAAACUCUGUGUUCAUUACAGGAGGCCGACUAUGAGGUGGCAUCCUAUGGCCUCCAGAAUGACUGUCUUGGGAUUCUCGGAGAAGACACCGACUACUUAAUUUAUGAUACCUGUCCCUACUUUUCAAUUAGCGAACUCUGCCUGGACAGUCUCGACACCAUCAUGCUCUGUAGGCAGAAGCUCUGUGAGAGUCUGGACCUCGGCCCGGCAGACCUUCCUCUUCUGGCCUGCCUGCUUGGCAAUGACAUCGUCCCGGAAGGCGUGUUUGAAAGCUUCCGGUACAAGUGCUUGUCUUCCUAUACCUCUGUGAAAGAGAACUUUGACAAGAAAGGCAACACUGUCUUAGCUGUAGCACACCACAUAGCUAAAGUUCUUCGCUUACAUCAAGGUGAGAAAAAGCUAGAAGAGAUGUUACCUUUGGGACCAAACAAAGCUCUUUUUUAUAAAGGGGUGGCAUCGUAUCUUUUGCCAGGACAGACAUCUCCGUGGAUUUUCCAAAAACCCAAAGGUUUAACAACUUUGCACAAGCAGGUGGUACCCAUGAGUUCAGACCCUGAAUCUAAGCAAGAAAUUCCUGUGUGUACAGACCCUGAAUCCAACCAAGAAAGUCCUAUGUGUUCAGACCCUGCACCCAACCAGGAAAUUCCUGUGCGUACAGACCCUGAAAUUAAACAAGAAGACUCCAUGAAUAUGGAGCCUGAAGUCAAGCAACAAGUCACCAUGGUUUCAGACACUGAAAUCCUAAAGGUUGCCAGGACGCGCCACGUCCAGGGGGAGAGCUACCUGGUGUACAACAUCCUGACCAGUGGGGAGAUCGAAUGCAGCAACACCCUGGAGGACGCGCUGGACCAGGCUCUGCCCAGCCAGGCCUUUGUGUACCGCCCCGUGCGGCAGCGUGCCUACUCCCUCCUGCUGGGGAGCGGCCAAGGUGACGCCAGCGGCUGCCCCACCGUCCGGGAGUGGUUUGUGUAUGCGGGGAACCCGCUGAGACACCCGGACCUCGUCAGGCCUCUGCCGAUGAACCUUCCAGGGGGCACGCCUAGUUUGAAACUGCUGUGGCUGAACCAGGAGCCAGGAACGCAAGCCCUGCGCGUGGACACGCUCCUGGCCUGUUUCGACCUCUCGUCCUCGCGGGAAGAGCUGCAGGCGGUCGAGAGCCCGUUCCAGGCGCUGUGCUGUGUCCUGACCUACCUCUUUGUGCAGGUGGACACGCUGUGCCUGGAGGACCUGCAUGCGUUCAUCGCCCAGGCCUUGUGCCUGCAAGGAAAGUCAGCCGCGCAGCUGGAGGCCCUACAGCUCGACUGCGUGGACCCCAGAGCUGUGCAGCUGGGCGCCCUGCUGGUCCGCGGCCUCACCAUGCUGGUUCUGGUCAACAGCGCAUGCGGCUGCCCCUGGAGGGCUGGUGACCUCAUGCCCUGGAACGUGUUUGACGGGAAGCUCUUCCAGGAGAAGUACCUGCAAUCGGAGAAGGGCUGCGCUGCCGAGGUCCUUGUGGAGCAGAAUAGGCCCCGACUCACCAGGUUCCACAGCCUCAAGUCCGUUGUGUGCAAGGCUUGCCUGAAGGAGGACAGACACAUCAUCAGCCGGCAGCACUGGCGACCACACCACUCAGGGCGGUUGGAGAGGCAGGGUUCUGGCUCCCACAGGACAAGCUCCGGGUACAGCCGGUCUGGCCAAGGACAGCACUGGAGAGACCAGGGGCCAGGAAGCAGGCAGCAUGAGCCGGAGCGGUGGACAAGACACUCACCGUCGGCCAGGAGGGGUGUUCCGACAUCCUGGCCUUCCUAAGAGAGCCAGUCUGCGCGGCUAGUCCCACGUGACGCCCGACAGCUGUAGUUCCCCAACUGUUUCCUGCUUACAACCUCUGACCAGUGUGAGCGUCCCAGCCCUGCCUUUGCUCAGCCCUCAAACAGAGAAGGGCCAGUCUGAUUACACUGCGUGGUCCUUCAGGCACAAGGGAAGAAUAUUCCAGAAAGGGACCUUCGUCCUCAGAGGCUGAGGUGGCGUGAACUUGCUGUCUCAGGAGCGAGGCCCGCCCUGGGAGGUGAGCUGUUCUUGGGGCGCUCACUUGCGCCGCUGGUCGCCCCACGAGUGGCGUGUGACCAUUCAGACUCUGGCUGUGGCUGGCUGUCCGGAAUAGCUUAGCAUUCAGUAUGUCACAUGUGUGUUGCUUCUAAUGGAUUUUAGUCCUUGUAGGAAUUUUUUACCCUGAACAUUUCUUUGUUCAUUGUCUUCAUAUUCUGAAAAUUUUUAAAAAUUGUGUUUGUGUGAGACUUUCCUUUUACCAUCCAUUCUGCUUGGCAUCGUGUGGUCCUGUGUCCCCCUAAGAUCUGGGGGUUUUCUUGUGUGAUUUCUUAGAAGGUUUACAGGCUGUCUCAUGGAACCCUUGUUAGAUCUAGAAUGUUCCAAGUGUAUAUAUAUUUCUUAUCCUCUUGCAUAUUUUCUGUCGUUUUGUUUCAACACUGUCUCCUCAGCUUGAUUUCCAGCCUGCUGAUUCUUCCUGAAUUGCAAGUGUGGUUUUUGUCAGAGUAAACGUCACUCACCUUCUCCAAGGCCAUUUUCAGCAGAUUAAUCCCCUCCUCUGUUUCUAGAAGCACCUACUUACUUGCAACAUUUUAGAUGGUUAUUUGCUAAUCAUCUGUGUUUCUUCUGUUUUAGGAAUUACCUUUCAAGCUUUCACUGUGGAAGUUAAGGAAUUUUCUUUUCUGCCCCAUUUCCUGUACUUCCAAAUAGUUAUUCUAUUGGGUUGUCAGAAAAGUCAUGACAUGUUUUUUCUGUUUCUCGUUGCAAAAAUGCGUCAUGACUUUUCCGACAACCCAAUAGUUAGAUCCUGUUACUGUUUCUGAGGGCAAUGCUGGCAACUAACCCAAAUAAUUACUGUCACUUUUACUUGCAUAGCAUUCAUUUUUGUCUGUAGCGUUUCUUUUUGGUUCUUUUUUAGGAUCUCUGUCUCGGCUUGGACCCCCAUCUGCCCGUGCUGUCUCACUUACCCACUGACUCGCUUAGCAUCGAAUUGUAGCGCUUUCAACUCCUGGUCUCAUAAUGCCACAUCCCUGCCAUGAGUGUUCCCGCUGCCCUGAGAGCCAGAUGGGGGAGGGGGCCUCUGCAUGCCUGUGAGCAGGGUCAGUGUCUGCAUGAGCCCCGCCUCCAGACUCUGGGCUCCACAGCGUUUCCCAGGUUUUUCUUCCUCUUAAGUGGACAGGGUGGCUGACAGGGGUCCCCUGGGGCAGUGUAGGUGACGCUCUGGUAAAUGGUUGCCUUGAGGGGAGGCUUGUUGGGGAGAACAGGGUUCUCCCUUUCCCUCCCCUGCUGAAGCCAGUGGCGGAGCGUUCUUGAUAUUUACUGAGGGAACCUGGUCAAGCUCCAGGAGGUAAAUCUCACAAUACUGGGGACCCCUGUGACUGGGUCCCCCUGGAUUUUUAACCCUUAGACUUGUGCACACUGAGCCCCCACAAUGCAUCAACCACAGUUCAGGGUUCCCACAGGGUUCAGACCCUCAUGAAUAUGCUCCGGGAAGCUGGGGCCCGUACCUGCUUGUCUGUGUCCGCUGUCUGGGGACAGUGGUUUGCCUGCCUGCUCCCUUCUCUUACGGAGCCAAGAAGAGUUGUCGAUUCUUCCGUCUGUUCAGCCUUGUUAGUACUGAGUGGCGACUCCAAGCUCCUUACGAGCAGAACUGGACAUCAGGAGUCCCCACAGCAAUUGUUUUUUCCUAGACUUACUGACUCUUGUUUUUUGCUUGUGAGUUUGUUUAGUUUUCUUUGUAUAUUUAUCAUAAUUCAACUUCAGAUUCUCCCCCAGUUUUCCAAAUCUCCUUUCAGUGCGUUCAUGCGAUGGGCAUCUCAUCGGCUUCACCUUCUGGUCAGUACCCCCCGCACUCGCCCAGCCAGGCCCUGAGUGGUGCUCUCUCGGCCUCCGCCCAGCUGGCACCCUUGUCACCAACUCCCGAAUCUUCACACCUCUGUCUCAUGUUGGAUUCCUGAAUCCCGUAUCUUCCUCUUUCUUGGUUUACUCUCUUAUCCUGAGAAAAAGGGCAUAAACCUUUGAGCCCUUGCAGGUCGGAAAAUCUCUUUAUCCUAUCUUAACUUUUAAUUGAAAGUUUACCUGGUUAUAGAAUUCUGGGUUGAAAACAGUUUUUAGAAUGUUGUAGACUGCUCCAUUGCCUCCUGGCUUCCAGUGUGUCCCAGGUGAGAACCUGGUGUUUUUCUGAUUCUUGAUCUUUUGUUUGAACCUGUCUUUUUGUCUCUGGAUGUUUACAGGGUCCUCUCUAUACUUGAAAUCUCAUGAUAGGGCCUGAGUGUGGGUCCUUGUCACCCACUGUGCUGGAUAGCCGGUGGUUUUCAGUCUGGUCCCUCACGUCCAGCAUUAAACCACACGUGCUCUGGCAACUGCACUGGCCUAGACAGACAGCAGCGUGAUGGCCUCGGGUCAUCUCCGAACCUGACUUCUGUCACCGCACAGUGUGCUGUCGGCUUCCAGCUGCCCCACCUGAGGGCACGUCCACUCAUAUGUGCUGAGGCUUUGCCCCAAACCUGUGUCUCCAGAGAGAUCAGUGCGGACGUGAGGGCAGCCGCCCCCCUUGUGAGCCACGUGCUUAUCACGCCUCUUCUCUGCAGCUCGAUCUGCAGCCACAUCCGUCAGCCCCUGUGUCCUCCAGUCAUCAGGCUGUUCCCUCCGGUCUGCAUCAUGGAAGCUUCGGCGCCCGUGUUCUGGAGUCAUUGUCAGCGUUUUGCCACCCUUGCUUCAGCUCUCCAUGUCUUACCUUUGCUGACUUAACUAUCUUUUCACCUUGCAAAAAGAGAACCCGGGUAUAUUAAAUCUUGAGUUUAUUGCAGCAUAAAUCCAUGCGACGGGGCAGCAGCAAACUGGCAGUGGUGAGGAGCGCUCCACCGCUCGCCUGGCGGGAGCCCAGCAGGAGGGCAUCACGGCUGCAGCCCAGAGCUGGCUGUUUGUGCUUGGCUGUCCCUAGGCUUCGGUGUGUGAACCUUGAGGCCUUUACAGGCUGAGGUAUUCGUGUGCUUCCGUAGGCUGCUGAGGCAUGAAAGCCACCACAGUCUAAUGGCCUCCUCAUUUAAGUAACGUAACAACCUCCAGACUGAGCCUGCACCUCUGGCCUUUGACGAGGAAGGAAGUUGGUGGGCGUGCACGUCUGCUUGGCCAGGCCUUAGCCAGUGGGCCCCCAGGCUGGGGCCCAACACCCGAGCUCUUGCUGGGGUGCACCCCCGACCCCAGCAAGAGCUUCCAGAGGGUCCCCACUUGGGGAGCGGGGGGGCAGCCUAGCCAUGCAGGCCACAACGAUGUCCCUAUCCCCGGUGUGCCCGUCUGCCCCGUGUACGGUGACUCAGAGCUAAUUCUCAUCUUGCAGACGGAGAUCUCCUGGGAUGGUUUCUAUGUCAUCGUCUUCCUUUCAUUGUUUCUGCUCUCUGUCACUUGUCUAAGGUUAGACACUCCCAACAUCUUUGUGUCCUUUUGCUUUAUUUUCUGGGAAAUUUUCUCAAUUUUAUCUUCCAUCCUUUCUAGUAGUUAUUUAAUUUCACUGUUUUUAAAUCCUGAGAACUCAGAAGGUUUCUUUCUUAUAGCAGUCUUCUUUGUUUUGUGAUUGCAACAUUUUCUCUUACAACAAGGAAAUUAAUUGUCCCAGUGGCGUUUUAUUUUAUUUUCUCUUCCUCCUUUGUAGACUGUUCUUCCGGGUUUCUUUCUCUGUGUGCAUGUUGGCUUCCAUUUUGGAUUUUCCUCCUCAGACACCUGGUAACUCUUGAGCCCCCACGUGUGUCUGGAGGGCUGUGCCCAGUGGGCUGUCAGCUGCAGUCCCUGGGGAGCCACGGCACUGCCACCCUUCAUUUCUUUAUGUUGGGUGGUUCCUUUUCCUCAGAGGGGUGUCAGCUCAGAGGGGAUGGUGACUUAAGAAAAUCUGAAGAAGGCCCAAGUGACCAUUUGGAAUGGGGGGUGCGGGAGGCAGUGAGAAGUGCCUUAGAACGACUGCAGGCUUCCGACUGGAGCUAUUAGAAUUUCAGUACCAUUGACUUGGGUUGGAUAUUCUAGGGGAGAAGAACAUGGAGCAGGCAGUAACUUUGGGGUGCAUUGCCUGAGGAGCCCAGACUUUGGAAGACCAAGGGUCAGGUUCUGCUCUGCCGCUGCUACAGGCCUGGCCUUGGGCAGUGCACCUGGCUUCUCCACGCUCUGCCUUCUUGGACGGUCACCUCCCCAAGGGACAUUAAAUGACAGAAUGUUUAUGGACAUGCAGCAUUUUGCAAACACACACAGAGUGGUGGGAGCGCCUGUGGUCAGAAGGGCCCAGGAACGUAAGUUGAGAUUCACGGUAAGGGACCAGGACCAGACGCUGGCGCCAGAGCCACAGCCAUGUGACGGCUCGGAGCCAGCGGUGACGUGCUGGGCCAUUUAGGGAGGCGCAGCUUCCUGUGUCCUCCAGGUGGGAUUGGCGCACCACGUAGGGACAACGACACGUACUGAGGCCGUGGGGGUGGGCCCACGAUAAGCGCCUGGUGAGUGAGCCAGGCAGGGUGGACGUGACCUGACGGCCACAGUACCGCCCUUGGUAAAGGAACUCCCCAUGGGUGUGGAGACCCCUCAGCUCCUUCUGGAACUUGGCAGAACAUCCCCCCGCUUCCAUUCCAGUUGCACAUGUCAGCUACACACGCACACUCAUGCGUACACACACAUGUGCAGACAUGCACAAACAGGCAUGUGGGCAUGCACACACGCACAUGCACACCUCAGGUUCACCUGCCUCACGGCGCUACAGCUGACAGGCGGCCCUUGUCUCCGCAGCUCACCCUCCACACAGCCUCGUCCCUCCACUUGGGGACUCGCCCUCGGCAGGAGGAGCAGGCGGCGUUGACGCUCACGCUCCCUGGGGUGGCUCAGGUUGCAGGUGACCAGGAGACUC